GAUGAACGCUAGCGGCAGGCUUAAUACAUGCAAGUCGAGGGGCAGCACGAUAUAGCAAUAUAUGGGUGGCGACCGGCAAACGGGUGCGGAACACGUACACAACCUUCCGGUGAGAGGGGGAUAGCCCAGAGAAAUUUGGAUUAAUACCCCAUAUUAUAAUGGUCAGGCAUCUGAUUAUUAUCAAAGGCUUCGGCCGCUUAUUGAUGGGUGUGCGUCUGAUUAGGUAGUUGGCGGGGUAGAGGCCCACCAAGCCUGCGAUCAGUAGCUGAUGUGAGAGCAUGAUCAGCCACACGGGCACUGAGACACGGGCCCGACUCCUACGGGAGGCAGCAGUAAGGAAUAUUGGACAAUGGACGCAAGUCUGAUCCAGCCAUGCCGCGUGAAGGAUGACUGCCCUCUGGGUUGUAAACUUCUUUUAUAGGGGAAGAAAGUUAUUUUUUUUAGGAUAUUUGACGGUACCCUAUGAAUAAGCACCGGCUAACUCCGUG
This 488-nucleotide ribosomal RNA is filed under the name uncultured bacterium. RNAcentral describes it as "bacterial SSU rRNA". It matches the Rfam family "Bacterial small subunit ribosomal RNA", at positions 28 to 507 of the family's 1533-position model. The record is from RNAcentral. RNAcentral also lists the same sequence under 1 other name.